Molecule: non-coding RNA, 107 nt
Organism: Jatropha curcas
Lineage: Eukaryota; Viridiplantae; Streptophyta; Magnoliopsida; Malpighiales; Euphorbiaceae
Source: Rfam
AGGCCAUGGUGUGGGCAAACUCGUCGGAGUUCUUUAUAGCGAUCCCAUGCCUCAUACAGGGAUUCAUUUUCAUAUUGGGUAAAUGAGGUUAUUUCUUUGAUAAGCCU